This 1908-nucleotide long non-coding RNA is filed under the name Medicago truncatula (barrel medic). RNAcentral describes it as "long non-coding RNA (MTRU_LNC005628)". Lineage: Eukaryota; Viridiplantae; Streptophyta; Magnoliopsida; Fabales; Fabaceae. The record is from RNAcentral.
CCAACACAACAAGGCCUCAACUCGUCCCGAAUGUUGUGUGUAGAUGGAUGGUUCAACACCGACAUGAAACUAUCGUAAAGAUUAAGAAUUAAAAAAGGUUUAGAAUGAUGUUUUGUUUGUUGGUUCAAUUUGGUCACGGCUUGGGUUAAGAGUAUGUUAUGGUAAAAUGCGAGGAGGUUGUUAGAUGUUUCGUUGCAUUGUUUGAAUGAGGUUGAAGUUGUCAUUGAAGGUAGACAUCCAAUCGGUUGUAGAUUAUUCACAAUUACUUUCUUCACUCCCAAUCCUUUGAUGCGAAUAAUGUUUGUGAUUGUUUGAUUAAUCAAUGACUCUAUGAAUGAUGGUAAACCCUACAAAAUAUACAAAUUGUUCAGUCUCAUUCAUCAAAAUUCUUUAGUUAGCAAAAUAACUUCUGUAAAUUAUAAAAAAGUUAAAAAUCUAGUUCGUACAUGGACAAAUUUAAAUUGAUCAAUCUUUUGAGGGCAAUGGUUAAGGAAACUAAAAGUAACAUGUUUGUAUUGGUUUCAACAAUAUUUUGACUUUUAAAAAGUUAAAUUUAUCACUUUUCACCAUUUUCCAAUACCAUAUUUCUAUUUUUAUCCCCUUAUCUAAUGUCCUAAGAGCAGUAGUUAUCAUUCUCCAUUAUUUAUUUAUAUGUUAUUUGAUGAACCCCUAGACAAUUUGAGUGGAGCCUAGUGUUACACAUUAAAUUAUUUAUCGUGGACCUUUUUUAGUAUAUUUUAGUUUAUUCCAUUGGGCACUCUAGUCCUAUCAAUGAAAGAAGCCCUCAAUGUAAGGGUUCCUUUUUUUGUCCAUUUCCUCCUAUAAACAGAAAAGAAGGAUCUACCUAACGGUAACAUUGUCCUUAAUGCCAUCAUUUCAUUAUUUCCAUCAAAUUUUAAUUAUACAACGGGUGGCUAAUCAUCUUGUCUAAUGUUCUUGGGAGAAAACAUAUUUAUAUUUUUUGAUACAUCAUCUUGUCUAAUAUUAGAGGCUGUUAAAGAGUGUCAUAAAGACACUCGUUAGCACUUUUAUAAUGACGUUAUUAAUGUAUGUGAAAACUAAAUACCUAUUUAAAGAGCAAAGAAAUAUUGAGAGUCUCAUAAGAUAUAAGGAGGUAAGAUCUCUCUAUUUAUACAAACUCAGGUAUAAGGGAGAAUGAUAAAAAUGAUUUAUGUUGUGAAAGUGACUUAAAAUUGGAGAAAUUGAGUUUGCUGAAGCUGUCAAAAUCGGAGCACGAUUUUUGGAGCAGAAUUGACACUUUCAUUCGUAAAAAAUCAGAGCACGAUCUGGCAAAAUCGGAGUACGAUAUGGCAAAAUCGGAGUACGAUUUUGCGUAGAUUCAGAAAAAUAAAACGUAUUUUUGGGCCUGAUUUUGUUCCAAUUUAUGAGGGUUUCUUUUACUAUAAAUAUAGGCUUUGUAUCAGAGUAAACCUUGAGAUAGAUGUGGGAUGAAACAAGGGUUUAGAAUGGCAACAACAAAACUAGGGUUUGUAUAGAGUUUGUCUCUUUGGCAACAAACACUAGGGUUUGAGGGUUGAUUCACCUUGGAAAACACUAUUAGGAUUGAGUCUCUUGGUUACGGGAAGAGAUUGGAGCUUUGGAUAGAAUUAGGCGGAAAACUUAUUCUUGAAACCUAUUGAUAUCUCUUUUGUAACGUUACUCAUCAUAUAGUGAAAUGGAUGGCUGCUCUCUCCCCCAUACUAGGUCAAUUUUGAUCGAACUGGGUCAACAAAUUCUUUUGUUUUCUCUCUUCUUUUCUCUCAUUGUUUUCUACUUUUGCCUUGUGUUUAUAAUUGUUUUAUACACUUUAUUUUGGUUGCUUGAUUAUCCCUUACUCCACACAUCAAGUUUGUUAUUGGUGUGUUUUUUUAUCGAAUUCGCAACAAUUUCAAUAAUUAAUACACUUGG